Molecule: ribosomal RNA, 253 nt
Filed under: uncultured bacterium
Lineage: Bacteria
Description: partial 16S ribosomal RNA
Rfam family: Bacterial small subunit ribosomal RNA
Source: RNAcentral
UACGAAGGGGGCUAGCGUUGCUCGGAAUCACUGGGCGUAAAGGGUGCGUAGGCGGGUCUUUAAGUCCGGGGUGAAAUCCUGGAGCUCAACUCCAGAACUGCCUUUGAUACUGAGGAUCUUGAGUUCGGGAGAGGUGAGUGGAACUGCGAGUGUAGAGGUGAAAUUCGUAGAUAUCCGGAGGAACACCGGCGGCGAAGGCGGCUUCCUGGACCGACACUGACGCUGAGGCGCGAAAGCUAGGGGAGCAAACGGG